AGCGAACGUUAGCGGCGGGCUUAACACAUGCAAGUCGAGCGAGAGAGUGACUUCGGUCAUGAGUAAAGCGGCAGACGGGUGAGGAACACGUAGGUAAUUUUCCGUUUAGUGGGGGACAACGGUCCGAAAGGACCGCUAAUACCGCAUACGUUCCUUGGGGCUUUGGCCCUGGGGAGGAAAGCUGGGCAACUGGCGCUAAAUGAGAAGCCUGCGUCGCAUCAGCUAGUUGGUGGGGUAAUGGCCUACCAAGGCGAAGACGCGUAGCUGGUCUGAGAGGAUGAUCAGCCACACUGGAACUGAGACACGGUCCAGACUCCUACGGGAGGCAGCAGUGGGGAAUAUUGGACAAUGGGCGCAAGCCUGAUCCAGCCACGCCGCGUGAGUGAUGAAGGCCUUCGGUCGUAAAGACGUCUGUUGGGGAGGAGGACGAACCGACUGGGGUAACCUUCAGCAUGACGGUAGUCUCCUUAGCAAGCACCGGCUAAC
This 486-nucleotide ribosomal RNA is filed under the name uncultured bacterium. RNAcentral describes it as "bacterial SSU rRNA". It matches the Rfam family "Bacterial small subunit ribosomal RNA", at positions 29 to 501 of the family's 1533-position model. The record is from RNAcentral.